Molecule: non-coding RNA, 1363 nt
Organism: Nicotiana tabacum (common tobacco)
Lineage: Eukaryota; Viridiplantae; Streptophyta; Magnoliopsida; Solanales; Solanaceae
Source: RefSeq, a predicted model, not a curated record
CUAAUGUGCUAUAAUCGCAAUUUCAGAGAGCCGAAACUUGUUAGAAAUAAUAUAAAAAGCAAGUAUUUUUCCGACCAAAGCAUCUUCAGCUGCCAUGGCGACGGUACGAAUGAUAGACAUAGCCGUAAAUUUUACUGAUAGCAUGUUCAAAGGGAUAUACAAUGGGAAGCAAUAUCAUAUGGGGGACAUUCAAGCUGUGCUGAAGAGGGCAUGGAGCGCUGGAGUUGAUCGCAUAAUUGUAACUGGUGGCUCUCUUGAAGAAUCAAAAGAAGCUCUUGCAAUUGCGGAAACAGAUGCAAGACUUUUCUGUACUGUGGGUGUGCACCCGACAAGAUGCAAAGAAUUUGAAGAUAGUGGGGAUCCAGAAAAGCAUUUGCAGGAUCUUUUGACAUUGGCUAAAGAGGGAAUAGAAAAAGGAAAAGUGGUUGCGAUUGGUGAAUGUGGGCUGGACUAUGAUAGACUUCACUUUUGUCCAUCUGAUACUCAAAAGAAGUACUUUGAGAAGCAGUUUGAGUUAGCAUAUAGAAUGAAACUGCCAAUGUUUCUUCACAUGCGAGCAGCUGCUCAGGAUUUUCGCGACAUUCUUGAGCGAAAUAAGGAUCGGUUUGUUGCUGGUGUUGCGCACUCUUUCACUGGAAGUGCUGAAGAUCGUGAUAAACUUCUUUCAUUUAGUAAUGUUUUUAUAGGUGUAAAUGGUUGCUCUCUCAAGACAGCUGAGAACCUUGAAGUCGUAAAGGGUAUACCAGUUGAGCGAAUGAUGAUUGAAACGGAUUCACCAUACUGUGAUAUCAAGAAUUCACAUGCUGGGAUACAUUUUGUGAAAUCCUCGUGGCCUUCAAAGAAAAAGGAGAGGCAUGAUCAAGAAUGCCUUGUCAAAGGUCGCAAUGAGCCUUGCUUAGUUCGGAAAAAGUAACUUUACAGUUGGCAAAGGAUGCAAACUUGGAGGAAACAGAGAAGCUAGAAGAACUAUCAUUGCUACACAUACCACUGAACUUCAAAUUGGCAAGUGCUUGAAGUUGUUGCAGGCACUAAAGGCAUCACUAACAUAGACCAACUGGGCAAGACACUGUACCACAAUACUUGCAGGGUUUUCUUUCCUCAUGAUUUGGAUUCGGCAGCAGAAGCUCUUCUUGCUAGUGGCAGGGAAGCUAUAUGAAAGAAGUCAUGAGUUCAAGAGAAAAGGCAGCACUCUGAGCAGCGCUCUGCUAGUCAGAGCGUUUAUCCUCUCAAAGUCAUCAUGUGUGUACGAGAAUUGUAUGCUAGAAAACAAAGGGUGGAACAUUUACAUUUUUCUGUCACUCAUAUAUUGUUUUUUGGUAACUAAAUUUUUUCAUUAAUCACCAGUGAAAGACAUUACAGCGCA